Rattus norvegicus (Norway rat) is the source of this 2703-nucleotide long non-coding RNA. RefSeq lists it as uncharacterized. The record is from RefSeq and is a predicted model, not a curated record. NCBI's taxonomy places the organism in Eukaryota, Metazoa, Chordata, Mammalia, Rodentia, Muridae.
CUCUCCUCUCCUUUUUUUUUUUUUUCUCAGAGAAAGAUGAAAAGGGAGAAGUUAAAGAAGGGACUAAAUAAGACAAAGAUACAUAAGAAAAUGAUGAUUUGUGGGUAAGAGAGACUGAGGCUGGAACAAUGCAGAAUCCCCUCCUGCAAGACCCCUAGCUCCUUUCACCUCCCUUGGAUCCAGGAGUCCUUUCUCCCAGGGCAGAAACAACAGGGGACCUAAAGUUUCAGAAUGAGAACCAUCCGUGAGGCUGUGCGUGGGAAAUAAAAUGCCAGCGCCCAGGCGUCUGUGGUCCUGAGGAGAGCGGGCAUCGAAGCUCACUGGGGAUCCCUUCAGCUCGCCUCAUUAAUCAGCUCCCCCGGCCAUCCGUAGGUCUUGCCUCAGGCUCACAGGUCUGGUUUUUGUAUAAUACACAUUUCCCAUCCGUUUUUAUUUCAUCUGUUUUUCUCCACGCAGCUUUUCCAUUAUUUCUGAACAUGUUAGGGUUUUUUUUUUUUUUAAUGUAAAUUACGGUUGCAGAACGCCUGUGGAUUGACGUAAUCCACAAAGAAGGCGACUGUUUUCCCUCCUUCCAAACAGAGAACGCAGCUUUCGAAACUAAUAAACCCCUUAAAGUUCAUGAGCCCAUUUCAAACUUUUUAAAUGUCUAGUGUCUAAAGAGAAAAGGAAAGAGAAGAGGCAAUAAGUGCAUCUGAGGCUGCUUGGCUGCUGGAAAGAGAAGCUCAGGGAGAAUGAGUGUACCCCUCCCCCACCGAGGUCCAAGCUCCAAGGUCCUCAGUCAGGAACCAAGAGGAAGAAAGACCCCAAUCUGAAAGCCUGCCUCGGAAGCCUAGGUGGGAAGGAGAAACUGACUGACCAUGCUGGAGGAAGGGAUAUAGCGGAAGGGGUGGGUCCUGGAGGAGGCGGGAACACAGAAAUCAAAAAGAAAUAGGAGGAAUUGGGUUCUGACCCCACCACUGGGAAAAUGAGAGGAAUAGCAGAGAGGGGGGACCCUCUGGGGACACGGCAUCGGCCUUGGCUGCCUUCUCUGGCAGCAUGAACUGAUUGUAGUGGUAACCACGGAGCUGCAAGUUCUAGACAGUUGGGAAUCCUUAAAUGGCGCCAUGAAGGACUCCAGGGGGAUCAAUAACAGACAGGAAUCAGGGCAGACCCAAUCACCAAUGGUCUGGGACUUCCGCCUGGAGCAGGGCUUCCACCGAGUAACUCCUAGGGUGGAGUCAGUGUCCUUUCUUCUUCCCAGAGGGCUCUGGCCGAUCGUCUGCUCAGACCUUGGGCUCAUUCUGCCUCCAGCUUUGAGCCAGACGCCCAGCAGAGAGGUACACGGAACGUUCGGAACGUUCGGAGUGGAAUCUGCUCAGUGAGUAAACGGACGGGGGAGGGAGCUAACCUAUGAAUGGACAAGUGACUGAGGAUCGCUUCUAAACCUCUGUCAUCCUUUGGGAAGUUAGGUGCCUUGUCUCCUCAAACACCAAGGUCAUGCGACACCCAACAAGCAGGGCCACAUGCAGUGCAGUCGCAAUCGAACAAGGGAUCCAGGUGACAUCUUCCCAGCUGGCACACCCUCAGGAAGCAGAUCUUCCUAAUGACUGUUGAGAGGUCUCUCUCUUGCUUUUUCUCUCUUAGCUAAUUGAGAUUUGAGAAUGACAGAAAACUAAAGAGAUCCUCCCCCAAAUCGCCAUGCCUCCACCUAAUGGCUCACUGAGGAGGCUUUGAAAUUUAGCAAGUUUAGUCCUUCCUUGCCAUAUCAUGCCCAAGGAUAGCACAGGGGACCUCUGGGGACAGUAGCUUCCUGUCGCUUGGAGGCUUACUUCCUUCUCAGUGGAAAGACAAGGAUCACAGACCAAGAUCAGGAGAGCAGAAAGGACUACCAUGGAUGGAUCCCUCCUUGGCCAAAGCUAAGGAGGUAUGGGAUUGGCUGCCACCCCCAUGUGUCCCCUGCCAUUUGAACUAUCUGCACCUGCUCCACUAUGGAGUUCUGCGCUGGGGCAGAGUCAAGUCAAACUCUUUGGGCUCGAAAUCACGACAGCUUAUCAACUCUCCUCAGAGGACCAGGACACGACGAACUGAAGCACAACAGGUCCACAAGGCAGAGACCCGAGAGACUCCACUGAACCCCUACGACAGCCUUCACCACCCUCUCCAAUCCACACCGAGGUGAAUGCAGCCCCGGGGGAGGCUACCGCAGCUGCGCCUCACCCCUCACCCACAGGAACACUGAGGCAACCACACUGUUGCUUUCACCGCUAAAUUUGGGGGUAGCCACAGAUAACUAACACACCUACCUGGCUCCUUUUCCACAGCAGAAGACUCUUUAGACUUUUCCUCAGUCUAUCACAACAUUGACACUCUCUCGGCUGUUCUAAAACACUACAGCAAAGUCCUACAGUUACUGCAAAGUCCAAGGUCAAGGCACCAGUAGAUUCUGUACCUGGUCUGGACCCACACUCUGCUUCAUAGAAGGAACGUUUUACCUGCGUCUUAACAUGGCAAAAGGCACCCAGCAGCUCCCUGGAGCCUCUUACAGAUGAGCAUCAAUCACUUUGUGAGGCAGCCACCUCAAUGACUCCAUAGCCUCCCUCCCAACACCAUGGCCUCAAGGGGAUUAGGAUUUCAAUGUCUGAGUGUGGAGGGGAGGGAGCAAGACAUUCAAGUCCCAGUAGUAUACACAGUUGUUCAUUAAAUAAAUGGGUGAAUGAAAACAGA